Molecule: ribosomal RNA, 495 nt
Filed under: uncultured bacterium
Lineage: Bacteria
Description: partial 16S ribosomal RNA
Rfam family: Bacterial small subunit ribosomal RNA
Source: RNAcentral
GACGAACGCUGGCGGCGUGCCUAAUACAUGCAAGUAGAACGCUGAAGGAGGAGCUUGCUCUUCUGGAUGAGUUGCGAACGGGUGAGUAACGCGUAGGUAACCUGCCUGGUAGCGGGGGAUAACUAUUGGAAACGAUAGCUAAUACCGCAUAACAGUAGAUGCUGCAUGACAUUUGCUUAAAAGGUGCAAUUGCAUCACUACCAGAUGGACCUGCGUUGUAUUAGCUAGUUGGUGGGGUAACGGCUCACCAAGGCGACGAUACAUAGCCGACCUGAGAGGGUGAUCGGCCACACUGGGACUGAGACACGGCCCAGACUCCUACGGGAGGCAGCAGUAGGGAAUCUUCGGCAAUGGACGGAAGUCUGACCGAGCAACGCCGCGUGAGGGAAGAAGGUUUUCGGAUCGUAAAGCUCGGUUGUAAGAGAAGAACGAGUGUGAGAGUGGAAAGUUCACACUGUGACGGUAUCUUACCAGAAAGGGACGGCUAACUACGUG